Molecule: ribosomal RNA, 253 nt
Filed under: uncultured bacterium
Lineage: Bacteria
Description: partial 16S ribosomal RNA
Rfam family: Bacterial small subunit ribosomal RNA
Source: RNAcentral
GACGGAGGAUGCAAGCGUUAUCCGGAAUUAUUGGGCGUAAAGCGUCCGCAGGUGGCUGUUCAAGUCUGCUGUCAAAGCGCGGAGCUUAACUCUGUACAGGCGGUGGAAACUGAAGAGCUAGAGUAUGGUAGGGGUAGAGGGAAUUCCCGGUGUAGCGGUGAAAUGCGUAGAUAUCGGGAAGAACACCAGUGGCGAAAGCGCUCUACUGGGCCAUAACUGACACUGAGGGACGAAAGCUAGGGGAGCGAAAGGG